GUUUUCGGAUCGUAAAGCUCUGUUGUUAGGGAAGAACAAGUGCAAGAGUAACUGCUUGCACCUUGACGGUACCUAACCAGAAAGCCACGGCUAACUACGUGCCAGCAGCCGCGGUAAUACGUAGGUGGCAAGCGUUGUCCGGAAUUAUUGGGCGUAAAGGGCUCGCAGGCGGUUUCUUAAGUCUGAUGUGAAAGCCCCCGGCUCAACCGGGGAGGGUCAUUGGAAACUGGGAAACUUGAGUGCAGAAGAGGAGAGUGGAAUUCCACGUGUAGCGGUGAAAUGCGUAGAGAUGUGGAGGAACACCAGUGGCGAAGGCGACUCUCUGGUCUGUAACUGACGCUGAGGAGCGAAAGCGUGGGGAGCGAACAGGAUUAGAUACCCUGGUAGUCCACGCCGUAAACGAUGAGUGCUAAGUGUUAGGGGGUUUCCGCCCCUUAGUGCUGCAGCUAACGCAUUAAGCACUCCGCCUGGGGAGUACGGUCGCAAGACUGAAACUCAAAGGAAUUGACGGGGGCCCGCACAAGCGGUGGAGCAUGUGGUUUAAUUCGAAGCAACGCGAAGAACCUUACCAGGUCUUGACAUCCUCUGACAACCCUAGAGAUAGGGCUUUCCCUUCGGGGACAGAGUGACAGGUGGUGCAUGGUUGUCGUCAGCUCGUGUCGUGAGAUGUUGGGUUAAGUCCCGCAACGAGCGCAACCCUUGAUCUUAGUUGCCAGCAUUCAGUUGGGCACUCUAAGGUGACUGCCGGUGACAAACCGGAGGAAGGUGGGGAUGACGUCAAAUCAUCAUGCCCCUUAUGACCUGGGCUACACACGUGCUACAAUGGACAGAACAAAGGGCUGCGAGACCGCAAGGUUUAGCCAAUCCCACAAAUCUGUUCUCAGUUCGGAUCGCAGUCUGCAACUCGACUGCGUGAAGCUGGAAUCGCUAGUAAUCGCGGAUCAGCAUGCCGGGUGAAUACGUUCCCGGGCCUUGUACACACCGCCCGUCACAC
This 994-nucleotide ribosomal RNA is filed under the name Bacillus pumilus. RNAcentral's name for it is "bacterial SSU rRNA". It matches the Rfam family "Bacterial small subunit ribosomal RNA", at positions 414 to 1402 of the family's 1533-position model. The record is from RNAcentral. Lineage: Bacteria; Bacillati; Bacillota; Bacilli; Caryophanales; Bacillaceae.